RNAcentral lists this long non-coding RNA (3108 nucleotides) under Marmota monax (woodchuck). Lineage: Eukaryota; Metazoa; Chordata; Mammalia; Rodentia; Sciuridae. The record is from RNAcentral.
CGCGGAGGGAUGGGAUGGGGGCGUCCAGGAGGCGGAGGGCGGUGGCAGAGACCCUGCGUUCCUUAAUGAUUCUAGUUGGGGAGGGGUGGAAAAUGAGAGCGCUCCCCUGUAUAAAGGGGGCACGAUGGGAAAGGAGGAGCAUAUUCCCCGCGGUGCGGGAUGCGAAGUGUGGCUCACCCAGGGCUGGGCUCGUGUGCCUGGGAUGGGGACUGCCCUCCGGAGAUGGAGAGCAGUUAUUCAGAACAGUGAGCUUAGUGCGACCGUUGGAGCCCUGCAGAAAGGUUUCUUUGGUCUUGUCGAAAGACAAGGCAUAGGUCCCCCCACUGCUGCCGCCGCUGCCGGCCCGAGCAUCCGAGGCUCAGAGGAGAGAUCCGGACCGAGAUGGAGGUGGUUGUCACUUGACUCGCACCCCUCACUCCCUGAGCGGGGCGCUGUCGCGGCUGCCCAGACUCACCCGGCCGAUGAAAAACUGCAGGGAUGUAGGAAAGAGGCCAGAAUGGGAGUGGGGCCCGAGCUGGUGACUGCAGCUGCGGAGGAUUCGCUCUUAUCCGCACCUGUGACCGCGGGCUGGACACUGUUAGGACGCAGGGGAGGCAUCCCCCAAGUCGUUACUGAGGAUCCGAGGCCCUGAGAAACACCAGCCAAUCGAGAGAAUAAACCUAGAUCAAAGAAAGAGUCUCUCUGGGCCUUGAGCCCCAGGCCCAGUCUAGGAACCGGCCAUGGGCACAUAUUUCAAAAUCCCCAGGAGGACGUGCCCUAUCCUAUGCAGGGGAGCUGUGGCUCCUUCUAGCUACUCUGGCUUCCAGCAGGGGGGAAGCUGACUUUGAGCACAGCGUUGGAGGACCCAGGCUCUUAGCAGACUCCCCCAGACCAGCCCAGGGAGGUCAGGGAUCUUCCGGUUGCCUCUGCCACAGACCCCAGGAAGCACAAAGCUUCCUGUUGGAUGCCUUCCUGAGCAGGUGAGGAAGAGUCUUUUGAAAUAUGUCCUGGCACUUCCUAGGUGUGUCCCGGUACACCCCAGCAUCUCUGGGACCAGAGACAACCUGUGGCUUGUGCAAGGGAAGACCUUGUCCCCAUCUCGGACCUAAAUGCUUUACAGAACACACACACACACACACACUGUGGUCAGAAUCCCACACAGAAAGCAACAAAGUGGGGUUCUUCCCUCUCCCUCCAAGACUGUUGAGAAGGACCCAUGUUGUUUCUGAUUGUCACUCGCUCUCCGGUGCUGUGAGUUUUGCGGUGCCAGUUGCUAUGUCUCUUUCUGUGUGCCUUCCUUCUGCUGAAGGACACGGGCAACACAAGGUGCACAGGAUGCACUGCCACCCACAAGAGGCUCACGGACAAGGGGCAGCAAAUUGCAAGCCUUUGGGAGGGAAGGUGCCAGGAGGUGGGUAAAUUUGCAGUUCCCAGGGGAGGCCCCAGAGUGAGGUGGACCAGGGAGGGUGUGUCCCGGGAGGAAGGCAGCCCCAGCUUCCAGUGGCUGCUGGAACAAAGGAGCACAAAUUGGGAGGCUUGAAACAACAGAAAUGUAACUGAGAUACUAAUUUUUACAUAUUUUGUUUGUUAGAUAAUCAUAAAAUUAAAAAAAAAAACACAACAUUUUAUUAAGACUAAGGUUCUCCAAAUUAAAGUUAUAUUAAUUUUAAACAAUAAAGGUUACAAACUUAAAAAAAUUCAUUGAUAUUAUAUAAGUUCUCUGACUAGAUCUAUUGUCCAUAAAAAAUACAGUAAGAUUUAUAUACUGCUCCCUACACAGGAAAUAACCUUAAUCAUAUUUUUAAAGGCAAUUAAGAGAUACCUAUUUAAAGGAUAAUAUUCUAAAAUAUAGAUUUUGGGAUCGCCUUAACCAUGCAUUAUUUGCCCUUAAUUUUCUUACCCUAGACAGUGAAGGCCAUUCGGCUGCAGACAGACACUGGCAUCCCUCGUCCAAUUCUGUUCUCCCACCUGUAAUGUGGCGCCAUCCCCUUACAAAUAAAUGGAAAGGCCCAGAUCCUGUCCUCAUCUGGGGACUAGGCUCAGCUUGUGUUUUGGACCAAGAGCAAGCAGCCCCAAGAUGGUUACCAGAACGCCUGGUUAAACAGGUUAAUGACUUACCUCAACCCAGGGACGGAGGCCCUCCCCCUGAGGACAAAUUUUCCUCUUUUGCAGAUGCAGCCAAAAUCCCCUCUGGACUGGGCUUAAUGGAUUUUUACCCUACCUUCUUCCCUUAUUAGGCCCUUUGUUGGGUUUGCUUUUAAUGGUGUCCAUAGGACCCUGCAUUAUAAACAGGCUGGUAAAAUUUAUUAAAGAACAGAUUAAUAUUUUGGCCUCUAAGCCCAUACAGGUCCACUAUCAUCUUCUGGAGAUGGAAGACCGCGCUGCCAACAUUUAAAAGGAUGUUCUACCCUUCUCUCAGGCUUAUUUCUUAAGUUUACAUCCCCACAGAUCUCUCUUUCUUAUAUAAAAGUAUAAGUGACAGCUCUGACCAACCAUCUUCUGCCCUUGCCAUAAGGGUUCGCUCCUCCAUGGGCCCCUCCGCUUGGGGGAGGACUCACCCAUGGAGUGAGGACAUUAGGCCAUAAUGACAGAGGGUGCAGGAAGGACUGCAGGAGGAUGGAUCCACGGAUCCCAAAACCCAAGACCUCUGAGUGACACGCUCUGGUGCAUGGCGGUUGGCAUGCUCCCCCCUCAAAGCUGUCUCCUCCAAAAACAUGCCAAGGCCACCACGAAAUCUCCUAGUGAAGACGCUUGCUCGGAUCAGGAGAUAUUCUAAGGCCUUCUAGAGGAACAGAGCCUCUAUCACCCCCUAAAAACAUGGCCAAUAAGGUAUGGUCAAAUAUUUUAUAUAAGAAAGGGGGAAGAUGUCAGGGACUAGAAGGAAAUUCUCCUUCAAAGAUUAGCCUGACAGCCCCCUGGGAGACAUCCUGCCUGGGAGGCAUCCUGCAGCUACUUAUCUCACCUGAGACAUCCUGCGGCCACCUAUCUUCCUGAAACCUAUCUUCCUGAAACAUCCUGCGGUUAUCUCACCUUGUGCAGACAUCCAGCAACUACCGAUAAGAGAGCUUCCCCAUCCCCAGCAUAUAAAUACCCCUGUGUGAACAAUAAAAGUUUGCAGCUUGAUCAGAA